This is a non-coding RNA of Oryza sativa Japonica Group (Japanese rice), 3363 nucleotides long. The record is from RefSeq and is a predicted model, not a curated record. Lineage: Eukaryota; Viridiplantae; Streptophyta; Magnoliopsida; Poales; Poaceae.
GACAUCCAUACUAUCAGUGUGUUGUUGCACAUGUUCCCCCUUUUUUUCAUUAGUUCUAUAUUUACCCUAUAGCUGCAUCUUGCAAUUUUCGUAAAUCAAAAACUUUUACAAAUAUAACAAUUUUGAAUAAUAUCAAAAAAUAUUGUUUCAAAAUUUGACACACAAAUGUGAUAAAUCUAGAUAAAUGUCGAACAAAAAAUGACAAAAUUUGGCGAAAAAAAAGAAGGGUUAUAUAGCAAGCUACAAGUCGUCGCUGCCUCCUGGCCGGGCCAGUGGGCCGUUGCUGCCGUCAACCCUGGCCGGGCCACCGCCAUCGAUUCCUCUCCAAGUUGAGUUGCCACCGCCGCCUCCUCCCCACGUUGAGCUGCCGCCGUCGCCCCCUGGCCGGGCCGCCACCGUCACCUCCUCCCCAUGCCGAGUCGCCACCGCCGCCUCCUCCCAGCGUCGAGCUGCCACCGUCGUCACCCGCUGGCUGGGCUGCCGCCGUCGCCUCCUCUCCGUGCUGAGCUACUGCCGCCUGACUGGGAUGUCGUCGUCGCCUCUUCACUCUCGCAGAGUCGCUGCUGCCGCCUCCAAGCUCCCUGCCCGCCACCACCUUCAAGCCUCCUCUCAGCCGCCACCUAACCCCCUCCCCAUCGUCGCCUCCAAGCCUCCUCACCCACGCCGCCACGCCCUCUCCCCAUGCAGGGCAGGAGGGGUCUGCGCCGAGGCGCCACCUGCUGAUGCCUGCUCACCGCCACCCGCCGACGCCCGCUCAUCACCGCCUGCUGCGCUACCCGAUGCCGCUGGAUGGGGUUUUCGUGAGAGGCUGGAAUAGUUUCCCCUAUUAGAUAUUUUCUUUUCUUUCUCUAUUUAUUUAAUACCAUAAGUCCAGUCCCACUCACUUCCGUCUAAACCAGGGGCAAACGGCUCUUUCGGUUUAAAAACGUGGGGGCAAAAACGAAAACCCUAAAAUGUAGGGGCAAAAUCAAUAUUGGACUUCAAAACUAAGGUGAAAAAUGCUCUCCGCAGCCUCCAAUUGCCAAUUCUUGAACUUCUGAAGGAUUUUACAAAUGUCAUGUUCUUCUGAUUCUUCAGAAGAGGAAUAAAGCUGAGGAACACAGGGGUAACUAAGGAAGGAAAACAGAGUAUUGUUUACUUCUGAAAACCAUGAAGAUGAAGCCUUAUGGUGUUAUAGCAUUGUCAGGCCCCAAAGUUCAGAAAUGGAAACCAUUCAGAGUCACCAGAAUUCAGAAAAGUACACAACAUUCUUGUAACAGAGUGAAGUCUGCAAGCAUUGUACCAGUUCAGCAAUUUAACUUCAAAGACAUCUGACGUCCGAGAGGACAAGGAAGAGAUGCCAUAGAGAUAGAGAUCGUGCUGCUGGAGUUCUGCCUGGAAUAGUUCUUUUCAGUAAUCACUGCUAUUAAUCAUUUGCCUCUUACAUUUUUGGCGCAAGAUUAAAAAAUUAUGAACAGAGUUUACUUCUGAUUAAAUGUGAUGAUACUGUAAACACUUGAAAUUAUGUUAAUGUAAUGAAGCAACUAUGUAUGACAAACACGAAAUUUCAAAUAGACAGGUUACAAUUUUUUCAUGAAAACUUUUGUCGAUGUUGACAAAUAGCGAGGGACCUGAAAAACCGGAAGUAUCAGAACUGAAAAACUGGCCGAUUGCUUUGCCGUCGGCGAGGCCGCGGCACGUGGAGGUCGCCAACGCCGAGGAGUCGAUGGGCCUUACAGUGACGGCAUAAAUCCGAUUGAUCUUCGCCCAUCUAACAAAAUCUCAGCCUGCCUCCGAUGCAUGGAAGCCCAUUAAAAAAAAUAGGAAUCCACCAACACACAUCCACUCCCCACUUGCGCUCCUUGCGGCGCCGUCGUCGGCGGCGCCGCCCCGCCAUCGAUGGACCUAGCAGCGGCGGGGGAUGGUGCGUUUCGUCGCCGUCGUGGGGUCGAGCAGGGAGUGGAAGCGGACCUCCAUUGUUAGCGCAAUCGUCUCCGAGGUCUCGGGCGACGAGCAGUUCGAUCUAUUUGUGACCGAGAAAUAGGAGCUCGAAAAGCCAUGGCGGCGCUGUCGAGCAAUGCCCCCAACCCUGGCUCUCUCCGGCCGCAAGGUAGCAGCUAUCAUGUCAUCUGAAGUUCAGUUUGCAAAAGAUGAGGAGAAUAAACUUGAUGCAAGUCACUUGGCACAAGUGCUGCUAAGCAAGGGAUACGAGGAACACUGCAGUCAGCCCAGUACAAUGUAUAGCCAUUUUUUUUUUACUGGAAUUAGAUGUUGGAAGCAUGGUCAUCUCAUCUGGCUAGGAUCUACAGGACUCCAAUACUGCACAUAUAUGAUCCAGGAACCAGCACUGAAUCGAAGCAGGCCUCCAAUUGUACACUCCUCUCCAAGGUCUCUGGCUGGUUGUCGGGCAACUCCCCCAAUCCCGAAACCCUCUCCCUGUUACUCCCCUUCCAUUUCAGCUUAAAAUGGGAGAACCUGGCGUUACUAGAUUGUGCACACGUAAUGUUAAAUUCGAUUGUGGAAGACAAUUUGCCAUGUAUGAAUGAAGAAUUGACACUGUUUGGCUAAGUGAGUCAUAGUCUCAUUCUCCAUGAUACACAAAGCGAGCAAGAUGAGUUACAUGGCCAUCCCAUGAGGGAUGAGGCCAUGACGGUAAUGCCUCAGUUUUAUUAGUGAAUUGAAUUAGUGUGGGUACCGGUUCUUCUGCCUGAGAUGUUCAGGUUGUUCAGAUACUAAUAAUUAUCUUUUUAGUUUACUUUGUUACCCUUAAUUUGCGUUUAUGCUUGUUUAAUUGUAGAUAGUACUUCAGUUUGCAGAAGAUGAUCAGAUCAAACUUGUUGUAAGUUACUCGACACAAGUGCCGCUGACAAGAAAGUAGAGAGUAAAGAAACAGGCCAGACGGGAGAGUGUACUCCAGUACGGUGUAAAGCCACCGUUGGGCGCUGGAGAUGACACAUCUUGCUGGACUGGAGAUGAUCCAUUUGCAGAAGUGGAGAUGACACAUCUUGCUGGAGAUGGCCUGUACACAAGAAGCCUACUGAGUUUUUAGAAAAUUGUGGCGUGGUGUAAUAUUUUGCUGCUCGCUUCAGAUUGCAUUUAAUCAGAUGCAAAGGAAUCAUAUUGUUAAUCGGCUGUGCAGGAAUCUGUCUCUUGUUAUAUUGGAGCCUGCAAAAGGUGGUUGUAAAGUCUUGGGGAUAGCAUUUUUUGUUUUGUACAACCUUCAGUAAAAUAUGUAAGAUGUAAUUGUCAGUAUACAUCCUGAUACGGUGGUACCUGACAUAAAUUAGGGGAACAGCAGCUAUUUUGUAUCAGCUGGCAUGUCGGUUUCUGUAAUUUGAUGCAAGAAAAGUGCCAGGGUGCCAGUGGGCAGUGGCAGUCAUGUUA